RNAcentral lists this ribosomal RNA (419 nucleotides) under uncultured bacterium. RNAcentral describes it as "bacterial SSU rRNA". It matches the Rfam family "Bacterial small subunit ribosomal RNA", at positions 386 to 797 of the family's 1533-position model. The record is from RNAcentral.
ACCGAGCAACGCCGCGUGAGUGAAGAAGGUUUUCGGAUCGUAAAGCUCUGUUGUAAGAGAAGAACGUGUGUGAGAGUGGAAAGUUCACACAGUGACGGUAUCUUACCAGAAAGGGACGGCUAACUACGUGCCAGCAGCCGCGGUAAUACGUAGGUCCCGAGCGUUGUCCGGAUUUAUUGGGCGUAAAGCGAGCGCAGGCGGUUUGAUAAGUCUGAAGUUAAAGGCUGUGGCUCAACCAUAGUACGCUUUGGAAACUGUCAAACUUGAGUGCAGAAGGGGAGAGUGGAAUUCCAUGUGUAGCGGUGAAAUGCGUAGAUAUAUGGAGGAACACCGGUGGCGAAAGCGGCUCUCUGGUCUGUAACUGACGCUGAGGCUCGAAAGCGUGGGUAGCGAACAGGAUUAGAAACCCUAGUAGUCCA